CGACCUGCUGCGGGCAGAUAAAAUGAAUAUGCGCAUCGAUCGCACCCGCGGUCAGGAUCUGACCCUCACCGGCAAUCGCCUCGGUGCCCGGCCCGAUCACGAUAUCGACACCGGGCUGAAUAUCCGGGUUACCGGCCUUGCCGAUCGCGCUGAUGCGGCCGUCCUUGAUACCAAUAUCGGCCUUGAUGAUGCCCCAGUGGUCGAGUAUCAGUGCGUUGGUGAUCACCACAUCAACCACUUCAUCGGAACAACGCUGGCUUUGCCCCAUGCCGUCACG
This 277-nucleotide small RNA is filed under the name marine sediment metagenome. RNAcentral describes it as "5' ureB small RNA". It matches the Rfam family "5' ureB small RNA". The record is from RNAcentral. RNAcentral also lists the same sequence under 1 other name.